RNAcentral lists this ribosomal RNA (252 nucleotides) under uncultured bacterium. RNAcentral describes it as "partial 16S ribosomal RNA". It matches the Rfam family "Bacterial small subunit ribosomal RNA", at positions 524 to 776 of the family's 1533-position model. The record is from RNAcentral.
UACGGGGGAUGCGAGCGUUAUCCGGAUUUAUUGGGUUUAAAGGGUGCGUAGGCGGUCCGUUAAGUCAGCGGUAAAAUUGCGGGGCUCAACCCCGUCGAGCCGUUGAAACUGGCAGACUUGAGUUGGCGAGAAGUACGCGGAAUGCGCGGUGUAGCGGUGAAAUGCAUAGAUAUCGCGCAGGACUCCGAUUGCGAAGGCAGCGUACCGGCGCCAGACUGACGCUGAGGCACGAAAGCGUGGGGAUCGAACAGG